UACGUAGGGGGCAAGCGUUGUCCGGAAUCAUUGGGCGUAAAGAGCGUGUAGGCGGCCAGAAAAGUCCGCUGUGAAAACUCGAGGCUCAACUUCGAGCUGUCGGUGGAAACUUUCUGGCUAGAGUCCGGAAGAGGAGAAUGGAAUUCCUGGUGUAGCGGUGAAAUGCGCAAAUAUCAGGAAGAACACCCGUGGCGAAGGCGGUUCUCUGGGACGGUACUGACGCUGAGACGCGAAAGCGUGAGGAGCGAACAGG
Molecule: ribosomal RNA, 253 nt
Filed under: uncultured bacterium
Lineage: Bacteria
Description: partial 16S ribosomal RNA
Rfam family: Bacterial small subunit ribosomal RNA
Source: RNAcentral